This is a long non-coding RNA of Daucus carota subsp. sativus, 874 nucleotides long. RefSeq lists it as uncharacterized. The transcript has 5 exons. The record is from RefSeq and is a predicted model, not a curated record. Lineage: Eukaryota; Viridiplantae; Streptophyta; Magnoliopsida; Apiales; Apiaceae.
CUGGAGUCGAUUGGGUCGGGGAAAUUGGGUGCGGCGACUCCAAUUAGGGUUUCAAGCAGAGGUCAAAGAGGAUUGAACGGAUUAGGUAAUCAAACUGAGUUCUUGCUUUCUUCCCUACUUGUUUAUGUUUGUAUCUUGGUCGGUUAUUGCUGUUGGUUGCGGCGAAUUGGGCGGUGAUGAAUUGUCAAUUGACGGUGGGGAAGGAGAGAUGGAGAGUUGCCAGAGGUUAAUCUGGAUCAGAGCUAUGAACCUCUGAAAUGAACAAAAGAAAACUUCUGAUGUUGCAUUAACAGACUUUCGGACCUUGUCCAGCAGCAUUGCGUGCAUUCAUAUGUUGUGCAUACAGAUUCAGUUUGGGCACUUGCUAGUACACCCACUUUCAGUCAUGUUUAUAGUGGUGGCAGAGAUCUUUCUGUAAGUGCUGCGCAACUAAGGUUGCGAAAAUAAAAUGUGACGAAAGAGAAGAUCUGAAGGUGUUGGCUACAGGUCUUACUGCAGCUUUGGUUGCAAGAAAGCUCCUCACACAAAUGAACCUGCUGGUGGAAGAAUAAAAUCUGCUGAUAGAAAAUUGGAAAGAACAGAAAGUUUAUCUGCCGCAGCUAAAUCAGUAGAGAACCAAAAGCAGGGAGAGAAAUAUGGAAAUAAAACACUGCACGAGGAUGCCUUGAGAGUUUUUGGGAAGGCAUCACUCAAAUCUGAGGGAAAAGCCACAUUGAAAAUAUCACUUGCUGCUGGAUCUCUUUCUAUUCCACUGGUGACAGCUGAGACCUUUCAACAUGAUCCAUACGAAGGGCGAUAGAUAGUAGCAAUGGCUUAGCUUCAGACAAAGUAUCCUAUGCAAGGAAAAUGUUAGAAGUUCAUACUUAUGUAUAUA